Molecule: long non-coding RNA, 869 nt
Filed under: Mustela putorius furo (domestic ferret)
Lineage: Eukaryota; Metazoa; Chordata; Mammalia; Carnivora; Mustelidae
Description: lncRNA (ENSMPUG00000025692.1)
Source: RNAcentral
CUGAGGACCGUAUUGGGGAGAGAGGCGGAGGGGGCGGGGGAACGGGAGGCGGCGAAAAGGGGAGGUGGGAGGCCCUGCGCAUGCGUGCCAGCGCCCAUGCAAAUCUGCUGUACAUCCAGAGAGCAAAGUGGGAUGAUCUGUCACUACACCUGCAGCACCACGCUCGGAGGACAGCUCUUGCUCGCAGCUUCCAGACCCAGGAAGCCUGAGGGGGAAGGAAGGAAGUACGGGCGAAAUCAUCAGAUUGGCUUCCCAGCUCUGGGAAUCUGAAGCGGGCCCACAUCUUCCGGCCAACUUCCAUUGAACUUCCAGCACUCGAAAGGGACCGAAAUGGAGAGCAAAGGUAUGUGGUUGUCCCCAUCGGGGGACUUCCCGCUGCAUGUGCGUGUGGCCAGGGCAGUCCUCAGCGAGGGGACUGCAGUGCUUGGGGAGAGAGCAUCAUACUAGGUCGAUAGGAGGAGAUGCUAUGUCCGUUGCAGCACCCGGGGAGUGUGGCAGGAAGGCGACUUCUUUUUAACUCCCACCGCUUGGAAGACAGUGUUUAAUACUCCAUCAGUUGCGUAGUGAAGUGUGAUGAGUUUUUUUUUUUUUUUUUUUCUUUUUGGGUGGGUGGGGGGAGAGUCUUUAGAUGGUGGGGGAGGAGAGAGAUGUUGGUAAAGCAGUUUCUUUCCUAUAGAAUGGAUGGGCUCGAAUACAGAUAUUUCAUUUGCUUUAGGAUUGCUGACAGGCAUGUUCGUAUCUGAUAUCCAAUAAUGCAUUGCUAUAAAAAAUGUUUGGAUUUCUCCACCCCCACCCCAUAAAGAUGGUAUUUCUGGGUGUGUAUGACCACAUCCUACUGCAUUUUGAAUAUAUAUCAGCAGAGAAAUUGG